ACUCCUACGGGAGGCAGCAGUAGGGAAUCUUCCACAAUGGACGAAAGUCUGAUGGAGCAACGCCGCGUGAGUGAAGAAGGGUUUCGGCUCGUAAAACUCUGUUGUUAAAGAAGAACAUAUCUGAGAGUAACUGUUCAGGUAUUGACGGUAUUUAACCAGAAAGCCACGGCUAACUACGUGCCAGCAGCCGCGGUAAUACGUAGGUGGCAAGCGUUGUCCGGAUUUAUUGGGCGUAAAGCGAGCGCAGGCGGUUUUUAAGUCUGAUGUGAAAGCCUUCAGCUCAACCGAAGAAGUGCAUCGGAAACUGGGAAACUUGAGUGCAGAAGAGGACAGUGGAACUCCAUGUGUAGCGGUGAAAUGCGUAGAUAUAUGGAAGAACACCAGUGGCGAAGGCGGCUGUCUGGUCUGUAACUGACGCUGAGGCUCGAAAGUAUGGGUAGCAAACAGGAUUAGAUACCCUGGUAGGAUAGCG
This 472-nucleotide ribosomal RNA is filed under the name uncultured bacterium. Its description in RNAcentral is "bacterial SSU rRNA". It matches the Rfam family "Bacterial small subunit ribosomal RNA", at positions 335 to 802 of the family's 1533-position model. The record is from RNAcentral.